AUCAGUGUGGUGCAGGGUGCACGGCGGCUUUCAAUAGCAGUUUUACUUGACGCGAUUGGGCCGCAGCCGGGGUUCGACUCCCCACAUCUGAUU
Molecule: non-coding RNA, 93 nt
Organism: Mycena leptocephala
Lineage: Eukaryota; Fungi; Basidiomycota; Agaricomycetes; Agaricales; Mycenaceae
Source: the annotation of a GenBank genome assembly